UUCUGAAUUCAAGUGAUCUUUACUUCAGUUAAAUGAAUCAAAGGUUAAAAAAAUGAAGCAGAUGGCACACAUCCAACCAAAGCUAGAAAAACUGUUGCGUCAAGACGAACUUCCUGCGAUGGAACAUGAUAAGACGUCAACCUCAGCAGUGGCACUUCAUUCAUUGAGGGACGCAGACGCAGCACCGCAGCUCUCAGGUAACAGCGCUUUUUCAUCCUCUGAGCAACAGCGGCUUCCACAACUCCACUACAUGUCUACAUCUUUGGAAAAGAGACUCAGUGAAGGUUGUUUUUUAUCUUUAAAGAGGAUUAAAUGUUUUCCUUUUCAGACAUGAAGAGAGGGCGGCUCCUCUUUGCGCUUUGGUGCUUCAGCAUCCAGGCAGGGACGGUCUGCCCCACAGGUCCGACAUGUGUGAGCGACUAUUACCAAAACAUCAGCUGCACGUUCGAUGCGCUGGACCAACCCAGCACCCACUACCUGUCCAUCAAAGGGUAUUAAAUGGAGUUUGAAUAAACACUCGGGGAAACGUUGACAGAAUUGACUUAAAUUCUCCUCUGUGUCAUUUUUAGGGAAAACUGUUCACUCACAGCUGUGGAUCACAAAUUCAGAGCCGACUGUCGGGUCUGCAAAGAUAAAAAUUAUUUCAUUAAAGAGGAUAAAGUCGACAUCUACCUCUGUAAUGUAAAUUCCGGCUGCAGACGUAUCCUAAAAGAUUUCUUUCCAUGUAAAAACAGUAAGUGGGAUUAAAUAUGAUCAUGUGAUCCUUGAAGCUCCUCAAAUAACAUUUUGCUCCUGAAUGUCCCUGAAUAGUUAAGCUGACGCCGCCUGACAUUAAGGUCCAGCAUGCAGCAGAGCCCAUCAAAGUUACUACUAUAGGAACAUCGAAAAGCAUUUACUUAAAGGGUUUCCUGGAAUUUCAAAUGGCCCUUCAGAGAUCUGGCAGCAGCGAUAUCAGAAAUGCAUUCUAUAACUCGACCGGAGCGUAUUUUAUGAUUGAAAGAUCGACUCUGAAACCAGGAGCUCAGUACUGCGUCAAAGUCCGCCUCACGGUUCAGAAGGGAUACCACUAUGAAGCCGUUUGGAGUGACUGGAGUAGAGCCGAGUGCUGGACAGUCGACAAAGAACAAGAUGGCCUUUUGAUCAUUCUGGUGAAAACCUUGGGCCCGGUGGGUCUGUCUGUUGUGGUCCUGCUGUCUGUGUGCUGCAGUCCCACCGCCAGAAUGAAGCUGAAAACUCUGUCCCACACGCCGACCCCAGCCACCUUCUUUCAGCCUCUGUUCAAGCAGGACAAGAGGAAUCUGCAGGAGUGGUUCUCAAAAAACAGAAAUUUUGUGCUGGCAUACAAAACUGAAGAGGACUUGAGGGCCGACUCUGUGACUGUUGUGCCCAGAACCACGACAAAGGAGCGUGAGGAGAUCGUCCCCGACUCCUCUGUGACCCCCCUCGUGCUCCCUAUGGUUUUCCCUGUGGGUCAGCUCUCCUACGUCGGCUUACCUGGAUUCCAUGAGGCUCCGGCUCCAGUGCUCAACGCCGGGGACGGUCAAUACACCCAGCUCCCGUGUCCCGCCUGGGAAUUCGGCAUCUCAGAAGGGGAGUUAGCAUCUUCUUCGUCUGAAAGCCCCCUAGAGAUCAGCAACGCCGACUCUGGCUGCAGCUGUGAAGGCCUGAGCAGAAGCCCAGACUGCUGUUUACCCAGCAGCCCCUUUGGUAAAUGUGUGCCGCUACAGUUUGGCCAGGAUUACUGCAUCCUUAACAAAACAACCGAGGGGGUUGUUCCUGUUCUGGUGUCCAAAAUACAGGUUUCCUCUGACGUCCUGCAAGAAAAAGAGCCAAACCAGAGCUGAUCAGACUGAGCACUGCAGGAGGCUUUGACAAAACAUUUUAUUCUUCCUCAUGACUGUUUUCAGCCGCUGCAUCCUUUACGGUUAGAUUUAUUUCUUUAAGCAAACAGCACAACUUCUGCCUUACUACUUUUUAUUAAAAUGUUGUAUUUCUGCAUGUUUU
RNAcentral lists this long non-coding RNA (2004 nucleotides) under Oryzias sinensis (Chinese medaka). RNAcentral's name for it is "lncRNA (ENSOSIG00000012498.1)". The record is from RNAcentral. Lineage: Eukaryota; Metazoa; Chordata; Actinopteri; Beloniformes; Adrianichthyidae.